Molecule: non-coding RNA, 1380 nt
Organism: Camellia sinensis
Lineage: Eukaryota; Viridiplantae; Streptophyta; Magnoliopsida; Ericales; Theaceae
Source: RefSeq, a predicted model, not a curated record
UAAUUUAGAACAUUCAAUUUAUGGAAAGGGGAGGGAGAGGGGGUGUAGCUAAUGUGUCUUCCCAGCAAAACCAAAUCCUUAUUAAAGGUUAAAUACAGCAUUGAUAAUGUGAUUUCCUAACAAAUCCAAAGCUACAUUUUCAACUUUUGAACAACUUUCCUAAAUUGGAUAAAAAGAAAAACUACUUUCCUAAUGCAGAACUAGAGAAGUGAGCAUUUUUAUAAGACUUUUUUUGUUAGUUUGAAAAACAAUGAUUAAGCCAUCAUCCUCAUGACAUGGCUAGCAUUCCAUUCCUUCUUGAGAAAAACAGAGCUCUCAAACUAUAAAAAAUAAAAAUCAAAAAUCAAAUGUACUUCGUAUGGUUGUUAAUAAAUUAUUCAUAAGUGGUUCACUUAUACUCGGUGGGAGCAGUGUUAUUAAAGGCGAUAGGUGCACCAAGGCGCCAAGGUCUCCUGGGACCUAGGCUCAAUGUGCAAGCUUCACCGAAGUGAGGCACACCUUGUACGGAAAAAAAAUAUAUAUAAUUUAAUAUAAGUAAAUAAUUUAGGGUUCAACAUAAACAAAAUGAAAUGUUAAACAUUUAGUGUUUUUUUGGAAAUUAAGAAUUAGGGCUAAUUUUUCUUCUAUCAUUGAUUUGAGAUUGAAUACCCAAUAUAUUGGCAUCUGUAAUAAGAGUAGGGAUAUUCUGUAGUUGCACCAUAUUAAAUCAAUGAUCAGAUUUUAAACAAAACUAGUUAAAGCAACAAUAAAAAAAGCCCUCAAAACGCAAACCUUGGGCCAGUCAGGCGCCUUAUCACAGUCGCCUAGCUUGAAACACUACAAGGCGCAAACCUUGGGCCUAGGCGCACCUUUAAUAACACUGGGUGGGAGGGUACUUCACAUGCAUUAUUGUCAGCAUAUUCUAAAUUUAGUUGUGAAGAAUGGCUUGAGGUAAUAGGCAAAGAAACUGAGAAGAUUCAUGAGUGUCCAUUUUUUGAGGGCAACAUAAUCACGGACCAAAUUUUUUUAAGAGACGGAUACGUGAGCAUUCAUAGUAAUAAGAAGAUAGCAGUUGAUUGUAAAACUCAAUGGAAUUCAAUAUAUUUAAUGCUGCAGAUGGCAAUUAUUUGAAAAGAUAUGUUACCAAGGGUGAAACAAUGUGAGAAGCAUUAUAUGUGUAUAGCCCAUUACAAAUUGUUGUUUUCCGAAAAAUUGUGAGAUUAGUGAGUAGUUGUCUAAGUGGAUAGUAUCAAGGUUGUUAAAAUCGGGAUCCUACGUUGGAUCGUUGGAGGUGUUUAUAGGAUCGGAUCGUAGAAUCGGAUCGAGGAUCGUAAGAUCCUACUGAAAAAGACAGAUUACAUAAUAAUUUAAUUUAAAUAAAUACUUCUUAUAAAGUAUACA